UAGGUUAGGGUAAACUAUUAAGAUUUAAACUUACUCAUAUUACCUUUCUCCAUGGGGCUUGCAACCGUCACUUGUGUCUUGAGCAGUUAAAAGACAGAAUAGUCAAGUCAAGCGCCAUGUCUCGUAUUCUUGAUCAACUAAAGCUCUGGAGUUUUUGUAGAUUUUCAAAAUAAAACUCAGGGAUUCCUUGUAUGACACUCUCAAUAAUCUCUUUUGUGGUAUUUCUGGAUCAUUACCAAGGCAGUGAUGGUAUAUGCCUUCUCUCAGACUAUGUGGUAUUUGUGGUAUGAGGCAUAAUGACAUUGCCUUCUUUCUCACCCUACUCUAAUAAGGUUCUGAUAUCUGGAGCUCAUAGGUGGGAGACAGCUAAUACAUACUUACAAGACAUUUAUUGCAUAGUCAAACCAUGGAUCCAGAGAAACAAGUCAAUAAGUCAAAUCAAGAUGUGCAUGUGUGGCGAAUGAAUGUUGUAUGGUGAUGAUGGUGAUAAUGGCGAAAACAAUGGUGAAAGUCUAAUUCUACUUUUGCUCUUUUGAGGGGAUACAUACCUUUCUUGCACUUUGAAGCUUUUUAAGGGGAAUGAGAUGCUUUAUAUUUUCUUUUUUUCUUUUCUCUCAGGUUGGUAUCUUGUACCCCUAAUUCUACUGUCGGACACUUGUCCAUUUUUACCUCUCGUCUCACUUUUUCUUUUCUUCGAGGUUCCGGGCACUUGCCCCUUUUUAUUUCCUCGUAUUCACUUUUUUCAGAGCACUCACCCUCCCGAAAUAAUGUAGCAAGUGGUAGUAACCAAAAUAUCUCGAGCAUUUAUUUCACGGGGAGUAACAGGGAUAGGAUAAUGUUUUUAGCUAUUCUCUCCCAGAUAGGAGUAAAAUAAUUUUGGGUGAAUCUGGAGAUGGGAAUGAGUGGAUGUGUGUGGAUGCGUACUUCUAGAGUAGAAGCAAUAUGUAUGAGUAAACGUGCAAGUGAAUCUUGAUUUUAACCGCAUGACAAGCUCCUAAGGGUCUACACAGCUUGACCACACUUAGUGCUCAUAAGCAGUAAAAAGUAAAUGUAUGGUUCAUACUCUAACAAGUAUGUAUAUAUAGCUGUGGUAGGAUUUGAAACUCUCAUCAUACAGGAACUCAUCAUGCAACAUUUUUAAAGAUUUUCAAAGAUAAAAUUCUCCAGAACUCUAGCAUCUCUAGGAACAGAUAAACAGCAGCUCGACCUUCCCAUAUCAUAUCCGUUAACGACUUGGACUUUAGAUCAACUACUCUUCCCACAAGUUUAGGUUGAGAGUAAAUCUUAAUUCAUAACAGUCAUGCCUAAACUUGAGAGAGAUUUCAAUUUUGAGAACUAGUCAUGGCAGAGCAACUAUUCAUCAUAUCCAUGUGAGAGCUUAUCAUGAGGGCUCAUAGCAAACUUUAUUUAUUUAUUUAUUUAGUAAACUAAGCAUUGAUAUAUAUAAGCAUAAAAUCUUUAUUUGGAUUUUUAUGAUUAUGCAUCUUUUUAUUAUUUGAGUAAAGUAUAAACAUGAGUAGAAACACUUAGCUGGAUAAAUGGGGAUGCUCUCCUCCAAGCUGGAUUUUGACGUAAUUUCUUCUGAUGUGGCUAGCAGGUGGCGGAGCUGUAUUUGAAUGUCGGCAGCACCCUGACAGCGAUUAGAAUGUCCUCCGUCUGCUAGUUUUCUUUGAUCCUUGAAUUCUAUGGAGCUCAAAUAGACAAUAAAGCUUUGUGGAAUUGGUUAAGUGUUAGCAUAAAAGUCUCUUUGCCUUUAUCAUGUUGAGCUUCCUCUAAUAAAUAUUAUCUCUUUGGUAGGAUCAUAAAUUUUUUUUUAUAUUUUCAUUUCUAUAGGAUAGGAAUAUAUUUAUUUUAUUUUUACGCCACCACAGUGAAUGUACUUAUGGGUUUCAAGCCACGAGCAUACUCACAUGGGGCUUAGUAUUUUUAACAUUUUUAUUUUCUUUUUAAGAUAGCAUGAUUAACUAAUAAGCUAUUUAAGGAAAGUAAGCAAUUAAAGGGAAAAGGGAAUGCAGAAAGGAUAAAUAUGGAUAACUACCGAUUUUACCUUUCGGCGAGGGUUCAAGAUUUAAAUCUUCUAAACAAGACUUCUCACCGUGUUCAUUCUUCAGGAGCAUCAUUUGAUUCAGGUGUGGACCUUGACGUCUGCACCUCUUAAUAUGAUGUCACACAUGUUCUUCGUUUGCCUAGUAGUUUGAAGUGCGGCGUUGGCAGUAUACUGCUCAGUGUGUUUGUCCUCGUAGAUCCAGGUCCUUUACUUGGUAGAGUCCGAGAGUUAUAAAACUCCACCAUGUUUUGCUCGAAGUGUACCUGCUCAUAGAGACAAGGUAGAGAUCAAGUGCUUGGGCCCUGUUGGUGGAAAACACCAACAGAACCAAAACUGUAUUUGUUCUUCUCUAACCUUAAGCAUAGUGAGCAAGACAAAGAUGAUGGGUGACAAGUUCAUGAGUGUAGCACUUAUAACAUUUGUCAGAUCAGAUCACUCAACCUUUUGGAAAGAUAAUCUAUCUAUGUAUAUAUCUUUUUCUUUAUUCUCUCAAAGAUUGAAUGUGCAACAUUUUAGCUCAUAAGAUUAGGAGUGUGGGAUCAUGGAGGUAGUACUAGGAACAAGGAUUAAAGGACUAAACAUGCUGAAUCAGUUGGGUUGGUUAAUUUGGAAUUAUAAAUCAUACAUGUUUGUCUCUUUUAUUCAUAUGAACGCUAGAACCAAGGAGAAGCUUAUAAAAGCGAUAGUCAGAUAUCUUAAGAUGUUACCUUAAUUGAAGAGUGAUGGUACCAUCUCACCUUGUGGAAGCUUCCCAUUCGUAAUGGUUGUGUAUCGUGUUUGUGGCACCCUCCAUGGAUCAUCUCUUAUGAGCUAUGUCUUCCUUGUGUAAAUUGUUAAACUUGAUGUGUCUCUCUCUUUGUCUCCAAUGUGAGUUUAUCUUAGGACUUCCCAGGUUGAUAUUGAAAGUUUUCCUGUAGGGGUUAGUCCGACAGAAUAUAUCAAUAUCUACUCAAGUAGAUUUUAGUUCAGUAACCAAACUAGACUCCAUGUCUAAUCAGAUUAAGGAUGGCUAUUUAACCUAAGCACCAUGCUUAAUUUAAAUGCCAAUGGAAGUAUGUCGAGUACUUCCAAACCAACACUUGCUAGUUAAUAGACAAAGGUAGCAUGACAACAUUUAUAGAGAUCUACUCAAGUGGAGAUAAAGUAGUGUGAUUAGAAUUUAACAAAUUGAGCAUGUCUCAAAGGUAGGGACAACG
RNAcentral lists this long non-coding RNA (3243 nucleotides) under Sorghum bicolor (sorghum). Its description in RNAcentral is "long non-coding RNA (SBIC_LNC008469)". Lineage: Eukaryota; Viridiplantae; Streptophyta; Magnoliopsida; Poales; Poaceae. The record is from RNAcentral.